AACGAACGCUGGCGGCAUGCCUAACACAUGCAAGUCGAACGAGACCUUCGGGUCUAGUGGCGCACGGGUGCGUAACGCGUGGGAACCUGCCCUUAGGUUCGGAAUAACUCCCCGAAAGGGGUGCUAAUACCGGAUAAUGUCUUCGGACCAAAGAUUUAUCGCCUUUGGAUGGGCCCGCGUUGGAUUAGCUAGUUGGUAGGGUAAAAGCCUACCAAGGCGACGAUCCAUAGCUGGUCUGAGAGGAUGAUCAGCCACACUGGGGCUGAGACACGGCCCAGACUCCUACGGGAGGCAGCAGUGGGGGAUAUUGGACUAUGGGCGGAAGGCUGAUCCAGCAAUGGCGCGUGAGUGAUGAAGGUCUUAGAGUUGUAAAGCACUUUUACCCGGGAUGGUAAUGACAGUACCGGGAGAAUAAGCACCGGCUAACUCCGUG
This 433-nucleotide ribosomal RNA is filed under the name uncultured bacterium. RNAcentral describes it as "partial 16S ribosomal RNA". It matches the Rfam family "Bacterial small subunit ribosomal RNA", at positions 29 to 507 of the family's 1533-position model. The record is from RNAcentral.